GAUAAACGCUGGCGGCGUGCAUUAGACAUGCAAGUCGAACGAACGACCUCGGGCUUGCCCGGGGAAGUGAGUGGCGAACGGCUGAGUAACGCGUAGGUGACCUGCCCAGAAGUGGGGAAUAACUGCCCGAAAGGGUGGCUAAUACCGCAUAUGGUCAUGAAUUCAGUUUCAUGUCCAAAGCCUUCGGGCGCUACUGGAGGGGCCUGCGUUCGAUUAGCUCGUUGGUGAGGUAACGGCUCACCAAGGCGACGAUCGAUAGGUGGUCUGAGAGGAUGAUCACCCAGACUGGGACUGAGACACGGCCCAGACUCCUACGGGAGGCAGCAGUCGGGAAUUUUGCUCAAUGGGGGAAACCCUGAAGCAGCAACGCCGCGUGAGGGAUGACGGCCUUCGGGUUGUAAACCUCUUUUGCCGGGGACGAUAAUGACGGUACCCGGAGAAUAAGCCACGGCUAACUACG
RNAcentral lists this ribosomal RNA (460 nucleotides) under uncultured Chloroflexota bacterium. Its description in RNAcentral is "bacterial SSU rRNA". It matches the Rfam family "Bacterial small subunit ribosomal RNA", at positions 28 to 505 of the family's 1533-position model. The record is from RNAcentral. Lineage: Bacteria; Bacillati; Chloroflexota.